RNAcentral lists this ribosomal RNA (381 nucleotides) under uncultured bacterium. Its description in RNAcentral is "bacterial SSU rRNA". It matches the Rfam family "Bacterial small subunit ribosomal RNA", at positions 30 to 404 of the family's 1533-position model. The record is from RNAcentral.
AGUGAACGCUGGCGGCAGGCCUAACACAUGCAAGUCGAGCGGCAGCACGGCAAUAGCAAUAUUGUGGGUGGCGAGCGGCGGACGGGUGAGGAAUGCAUCGGGAUCUACCCUGUCGUGGGGGACAACGUAGGGAAACUUACGCUAAUACCGCAUGAUCUGGAGACAGCAAAGCCGGGGACCUUCGGGCCUGGCGCGAUGGGAUGAGCCGAUGUCCGAUUAGCUAGUUGGCGGGGUAAAGGCCCACCAAGGCGACGAUCGGUAGCUGGUCUGAGAGGACGACCAGCCACACUGGAACUGAGACACGGUCCAGACUCCUACGGGAGGCAGCAGUGGGGAAUAUUGGACAAUGGGGGCAACCCUGAUCCCAGCCAUGCCGCGUGU